GUCUUCGUAGUACAACUAUAAUACCUCGGUCUUGUAAACCGAAAAUGGGGUAAAUAGCCCCCUUAGACU
RNAcentral lists this transfer RNA (69 nucleotides) under Echinosorex gymnura. RNAcentral describes it as "tRNA-Thr". Lineage: Eukaryota; Metazoa; Chordata; Mammalia; Eulipotyphla; Erinaceidae. The record is from RNAcentral.